CCUACGGGUGGCAGCAGUGGGGAAUAUUGGACAAUGGGGGGAACCCUGAUCCAGCCAUGCCGCGUGUGUGAAGAAGGCCCUCGGGUUGUAAAGCACUUUCAGUGAGGAAGAACGCCUGGUGGUUAAUACCCAUCAGGAAAGACAUCACUCACAGAAGAAGCACCGGCUAACUCCGUGCCAGCUGCCGCGGUAAUACGGAGGGUGCGAGCGUUAAUCGGAAUUACUGGGCGUAAAGCGCGCGUAGGUGGCUUGAUAAGCCGGUUGUGAAAGCCCCGGGCUCAACCUGGGAACGGCAUCCGGAACUGUCAAGCUAGAGUGCAGGAGAGGAAGGUAGAAUUCCCGGUGUAGCGGUGAAAUGCGUAGAGAUCGGGAGGAAUACCAGUGGCGAAGGCGGCCUUCUGGACUGACACUGACACUGAGGUGCGAAAGCGUGGGUAGCAAACAGGAUUAGAUACCCUGUAGUC
RNAcentral lists this ribosomal RNA (464 nucleotides) under Vreelandella stevensii. RNAcentral describes it as "partial 16S ribosomal RNA". It matches the Rfam family "Bacterial small subunit ribosomal RNA", at positions 338 to 795 of the family's 1533-position model. Lineage: Bacteria; Pseudomonadati; Pseudomonadota; Gammaproteobacteria; Oceanospirillales; Halomonadaceae. The record is from RNAcentral.